Molecule: ribosomal RNA, 468 nt
Filed under: uncultured bacterium
Lineage: Bacteria
Description: partial 16S ribosomal RNA
Rfam family: Bacterial small subunit ribosomal RNA
Source: RNAcentral
GACGAACGCUGGCGGCAUGCUUAACACAUGCAAGUCGAACGGGAAGGCCCUUUUUUUGUGGGGUACUCGAGUGUCGAACGGGAGAGUAACACGUUGGUAACCGGCCCAUAACUGUGGGAUAACUUCAGUAAACUGGGGGUAAUAGCGGAAAGGAGCGACUCCUGCAUGGGGGGGGUUGGAAAGUUUCGACGUUGGUGGAUGGACAGGUGGCUUCUCAGGCUGUGGGUGGGGGAGGGUCUUACCAAGUGUUUGACGGGUAGCCGGCCGGGACGGGGGACGGGCCACAUCGGUACUAAGGUGACGCCGAGCCGACUCCGGGAGGCAGCAGUGGGGAAUAUUGCACAGCGGGCGGAGGCCUGAUGAAGCAGCGCCGCGUGGGGGAUGAAGACCUUCCGGUUGUAAUCCGCUUUCGCCUGUGAAGAAGCGUGAGUGACGGUAAUGGGUAAAGAAGCACCGGCUAACUACGUG